CCCUUAGAUGUUCUGGGCCGCACGCGUGCUACACUGAUGCAUUCAACGAGUCUAAAACCUGGUCUGAUAGGGCUGGGUAAUCUUUUGAAAGUGCAUCGUGAUUGGGAUAGAUGAUUGCAAUUCUUCAUCUUCAACGAGGAAUGCCUAGUAAACGCAAGUCAUCAGCUUGCAUUGAUUACGUCCCUGCCCUUUGUACACACCGCCCGUCGCUCCUACCGAUUGAAUGAUCCGAUGAAUACCAUGGAUUGAGAGUACGAAUAGGUUCGCUUAUUUCUGCUGCUCGAGAAGUGGAGUAAAUCUUAUCAUUUAGAGGAAGGAGAGGUCGUAACA
This 330-nucleotide ribosomal RNA is filed under the name uncultured eukaryote. Its description in RNAcentral is "partial 18S ribosomal RNA". It matches the Rfam family "Eukaryotic small subunit ribosomal RNA", at positions 1470 to 1796 of the family's 1831-position model. The record is from RNAcentral.